UACGGGGGGGGCAAGCGUUGUUCGGAAUUACUGGGCGUAAAGGGCUCGUAGGCGGCCAACUAAGUCAGACGUGAAAUCCCUCGGCUUAACCGGGGAACUGCAUCUGAUACUGGAUGGCUUGAGUUCGGGAGAGGGAUGCGGAAUUCCAGGUGUAGCGGUGAAAUGCGUAGAUAUCUGGAGGAACACCGGUGGCGAAGGCGGCCAUCUGGACGGAUACUGACGCUGAGACGCGAAAGCGUGGGUAGCAAACAGG
This 253-nucleotide ribosomal RNA is filed under the name uncultured bacterium. RNAcentral's name for it is "partial 16S ribosomal RNA". It matches the Rfam family "Bacterial small subunit ribosomal RNA", at positions 524 to 776 of the family's 1533-position model. The record is from RNAcentral.